RNAcentral lists this long non-coding RNA (1267 nucleotides) under Coccomyxa subellipsoidea. RNAcentral describes it as "long non-coding RNA (CSUB_LNC000260)". The record is from RNAcentral. Lineage: Eukaryota; Viridiplantae; Chlorophyta; Trebouxiophyceae; Coccomyxaceae.
GAGUGUGAAUGUAGUUUACAGCUGACCAUUAGGCUGAGAGCUGGUGUAUCUCAGACAUACUUAGUAAGCCUAGGGAAAUCUGAAAGUGAUUGCCAUGGGACUCAAUUUACACAUUUGCAAAUGAUUAGACUUGGCAUUGUCCCAGUAGUAUUCCGUGGCACCUCACGCCAUGCCAUUGCCCCUAUUCGUGCCGCAAUCACUUCAGAGCAAAAGCAGGACCAGUCUCACCCAGUACAGAGCUGGGGUAUGCAUUGGGCAGAAUUACCAAAAUUGCGGAGGCCUCAGGGAGUCAGCUGCACCUGGCCAGCUUGGCUGGUGAUCUGAGGCCUUGCGUUUCAGGAGCAACUCCUUUUGUACAGCAGAUCACGUGAUCUGCACACAAGGUCUCACAAAGAAAGAUGCCGCUCCUUCUUGCCAGUGGUCCCCUUAGUCAUCCUUGAUGGGCAAUGGCCGGCUUGCCCAGUACCAGACAAGCGCUACCAACAGGAGAAAUAGGACGCUCACAACUGUGAUCACCUGGAAUUCAAGCUGUAUCACAUCAUGACCUGAAAAUUGGUCCACUUGACAUACGCUGCUGCAAGACAUAUGGCGCCUCAUCACACAAGCUGUCAACAAGCACGAGGAUAGAACGCACGUAUUUGGCAUGUUCGUGAAUGUUUUUGUUUGAAGCUUUCCUCUUCCUCUUCUCGACACGCUUCUCAUCCUUAGGCUUCCCUGGACGUUGCCACAAAGAUGUGAGGGAAACCAGUUAAGCAUACGCAAUGCGUUCAAACAACGGUCCUCGGUUUCGAUACAUAUAUGUUGUAAGGAAACGCAUCGCCACAGGACGCUGACGUGCCUUUACCAACCGCCAUGUGGGCCUCUGAUUUAGGUGAUGAACUCCAGAGGUCCUUAGAUACAGCAAGAACCAUGUCAGUAUAAAAAAUAAAGAUCAUUCAUCUUACCAAAAGAUAUGAUCAACACACAGGAAUGUAGCAGAAAUUCGGCAAAGCCUGAUAUUCACAGCACAUCUGACUGCAGAAUCAAAACCAUAAGAAGCCUGCAUAAUCGGGUAGAGUGCAGUCUUUGAUGGAAACAUGCUGAUAUGUUUGGUUACUAUCAACCAAUAAUUUUCGCUAUAUUACCAAAGCCAGCGACUUUCCUGUGCACCAAAUGUGUGACCCAUGGAGAUCUGACAAGGACUGCAGAAAUAUGGGUACGCACCUCAAAUACUGCAGCUGAAGCCUGCUCCAACAACAGAUAUUAUUCAAUGUGCAACUUUGACCUU